GACGAACCGUGCGAACGUUGUUCGGAAUCACUGGGCUUAAAGGGCGCGUAGGCGGCUCCGCCAGUCUCGGGUGAAAUCGUUCGGCUUAACCGGACAAGGGCCCGGGAUACUGCGGGGCUGGAGGGGGAUAGGGGUGGAUGGAACUUCCGGUGGAGCGGUGAAAUGCGUUGAUAUCGGAAGGAACGCCGGCGGCGAAAGCGAUCCACUGGGUCCCUGCUGACGCUGAGGCGCGAAAGCCAGGGGAGCGAACGGG
RNAcentral lists this ribosomal RNA (253 nucleotides) under uncultured bacterium. Its description in RNAcentral is "partial 16S ribosomal RNA". It matches the Rfam family "Bacterial small subunit ribosomal RNA", at positions 524 to 776 of the family's 1533-position model. The record is from RNAcentral.